Molecule: ribosomal RNA, 351 nt
Filed under: Triticum aestivum (bread wheat)
Lineage: Eukaryota; Viridiplantae; Streptophyta; Magnoliopsida; Poales; Poaceae
Description: partial small subunit ribosomal RNA
Source: RNAcentral
AUGAGCAAGAGUAAUCCAGACAAAGUUCCAGGAACGACUACGCAUCGUUCCCCAUUUAAAGACAUAACGAACUCGUCUAUGAUUGAGAAUGCAAAUGUCACUACUAAUAGUCAAGAAGCAAAAAAGAAUACAUUGUAUGCCCGAAUGUCUGAUGAGAAGAGAGCAACAUUCCUUGAAAAACGUUGUAUGUCCCGACAAGAAAAGAAGUCUCAGGCUCUGAAUAUUGUUAAUGGUCAACUAACAGUUGAGGCACAUGCUCCGUUAGGAUCCAAGGAAUGUACACCUUUGAGAAACAUAACCAACACACACACAAAUGAUGCAACAUGUACUGAAGCCGUAGGACGCCCUUGA